Molecule: ribosomal RNA, 453 nt
Filed under: uncultured bacterium
Lineage: Bacteria
Description: bacterial SSU rRNA
Rfam family: Bacterial small subunit ribosomal RNA
Source: RNAcentral
UACGGAAGGCAGCAGUGGGGAAUAUUGCACAAUGGGCGAAAGCCUGAUGCAGCUAUGCCGCGUGUAUGAAGAAGGCCUUAGGGUUGUAAAGUACUUUCAUCGGGGAGGAAAAACAAAACUAAUAAUUUUAUUUCUUGACGUUACCCGAAAAAGAAGCACCGGCUAACUCCGUGCCAGCAGCCGCGGUAAUACGGAGGGUGCUAGCGUUAAUCAGAAUUACUGGGCGUAAAGAGCACGUAGGUGGUUUUUUUAAGUCAGAUGUGAAAUCCCUGGGCUUAACCUGGAACUGCAUUUUGAAACUGAAAUACUAGAGUAUCGUAGAGGGAGGUAGAAUUCUAGGUGUAGCGGUGAAAUGCGUAGAUAUCUGGAGGAAUACCUGUGGCGAAAGCGGCCUCCUAAACGAAUACUGACACUGAGUGCGAAAGCGUGGGAAGCAAACAGGGAUUAGAUACC